This 377-nucleotide ribosomal RNA is filed under the name uncultured bacterium. RNAcentral describes it as "bacterial SSU rRNA". It matches the Rfam family "Bacterial small subunit ribosomal RNA", at positions 521 to 896 of the family's 1533-position model. The record is from RNAcentral.
UAAUACGGAGGGUGCGAGCGUUGUCCGGAAUCACUGGGCGUAAAGGGCGCGUAGGCGGUUCGUUAAGUUGCUGGUGAAAUCCCGGGGCUCAACUCCGGGGCUGCCAGUAAGACUGGCGAGCUAGAGCACGGUAGAGGCGGAUGGAAUUCCCGGUGUAGCGGUGGAAUGCGUAGAUAUCGGGAAGAAUACCGGUGGCGAAGGCGUUCCGCUGGGCCGUUGCUGACGCUGAGGCGCGACAGCGUGGGGAGCAAACAGGAUUAGAUACCCUGGUAGUCCACGCCGUAAACGAUGGACACUAGGCGUCGGGGGGAGCGACCCCCUCGGUGCCGUCGCUAACGCAGUAAGUGUCCCGCCUGGGGAGUACGGCCGCAAGGCUG